Molecule: ribosomal RNA, 497 nt
Filed under: uncultured bacterium
Lineage: Bacteria
Description: partial 16S ribosomal RNA
Rfam family: Bacterial small subunit ribosomal RNA
Source: RNAcentral
GAUGAACGCUGGCGGCGUGCCUAAUACAUGCAAGUCGAGCGAACGGACGAGAAGCUUGCUUCUCUGAUGUUAGCGGCGGACGGGUGAGUAACACGUGGAUAACCUACCUAUAAGACUGGGAUAACUUCGGGAAACCGGAGCUAAUACCGGAUAAUAUUUUGAACCGCAUGGUUCAAAAGUGGAAGACGGUCUUGCUGUCACUUAUAGAUGGAUCCGCGCUGCAUUAGCUAGUUGGUAAGGUAACGGCUUGCCAAGGCAACGAUGCAUAGCCGACCUGAGAGGGUGAUCGGCCACACUGGAACUGAGACACGGUCCAGACUCCUACGGGAGGCAGCAGUAGGGAAUCUUCCGCAAUGGGCGAAAGCCUGACGGAGCAACGCCGCGUGAGUGAUGAAGGUCUUCGGAUCGUAAAACUCUGUUAUUAGGGAAGAACAUAUGUGUAAGUAACUGUGCACAUCUUGACGGUACCUAAUCAGAAAGCCACGGCUAACUACGUG